GGCACUAACGGCUUGAGCACCGACAACAACAUCGCCAGCAUCAUCGCAACCACUUCCACCACCAUUACCAUCAACACCACUAUUGACAAGAGCGCUACAACCACUAUCACUAUCAACAUCAGCAUAUUACCACCACCACCACAGUCACCAGCGCCAUCGCAGGAGCUUCUACAUGUGCACCUGGUCUGCUAGAAAUACUAACCAAAUCUCUCUCAAAUUACACACUCUACUGUCUUAGAGAACACACAGCAUUCUCUUCGUGGUUAUAGUAGGUUCAUUCAGCGUAGAAAAUAAGAUGGGAUGGUCAUGGUUAGAAUUCUUUUAAUUAUAAGUUUGCUUGAUUAGGAUAGAUCUGGGGCUAAACAAUAACAUCAAUUACAAUCAUUACAAACAUAUUGAAGGGACUGCUGAAGUGCCGUUCGCUAUGCUAGAUAUAACAACCAAGUCUCAGACAAUUCCCACAUUACUAUAGUAUUGAGAGAAGGACACAUUGUAAAAUGUUGUUCCUGGUGUAAAACAAACUGGAUUGAAUGAUCACUGCUUGAACAUUUUUGAUCAUAAAUCUGCUUGAUUAAGCCUAACCUAGGGUUGAAUAACAGCAUGAUCACCACCACCACCACCGCCAGUAACAAACACCCCUGCUGUGGCGUAGAAAUGGCAGCCAAAACUUCCACACAUCAUAUUGGAUAAUGUCGUGAUUAAUCCACAACAACCGUGCAGUCGUGCCUGGAUCAGUACUGACCUGGGAUUAAACAACGAAACUACUGCUACCAUCUGAUCCUUAAAUCUACAAACACACUGCUACUACACUGGAUUACUAAGAAAGAAAUAAAGCGUUUCACCUUACUUCCAUCUUUAAUCCCUUUCCUUGUGUUCUGUCUUAACCAAAACACUUCGCCCUCGCUCCCUCUUCUUGUGUCAACACACACACACACACUCACAAACAUACAUAUAAGCACACACAAACCCACACACACACAUGCAAGGAUACAGACACACACAUAUAGGCAAGACAUAUAGAUACAUACAUGUACACGCACUUUCACUUAUCUUCUGUCUCUUCAUUUCUUCCUGUUCCUCUCUCAAACAUCUGUACACUUUUUUUCUAACACACACACACGUCUAUCUUUUACACAAAAUACAUUCACCAUUUCUUCUAAGCGCUCUCACUUUCUCAUACAUCUUCCCUAUUUUUUAGAUUCUCUCUCAUAUUCUUACCAUUUCUUAGUUUCACUAUCUCUCUCUCUCUAUCUUUCUCUCAUAUUUUCACCAUUCCUUUGAGUCACUCUCUUACACUUUCUCCGUCUCACUCAUCUCUUUCUCACAAAUAAACUCUCACCCUUUCUCCCCUCUCUCUUUCUCACUUACUCUUUCUUUGUCUCCUCUACUUCUCUUUCUUGAAUUCACGCAUAUUCUCUCCCUUUCCCUUUUUCACACACACACAGCACAACACAUGCGCGCGCACACACACACAUAAUCUUUAUCUCGUCUAUACGCACUCAAACACGCGCGCGCUUUCUGUUUCUAUAAUCAUCUAUUCUCUCUCCCUUUCUUUCACACGCUCUCUUUCUCUUAUGCUUACGCGCACUCUUUCCCUCUCACAUACAUAUUCUUCCUUCCUCUGUCACACACAAAUAGAUUCAGCCACACACACACACACACAUUCAUACAUACACAAACAUUAACACUGAAGCGCUAACCCUUUCGUUCUUUCCUUCUCCCUCUCUCUCACACCCACUCUCUAACUUUUACUCUCUCUCUCUCUAUCUUCCCCCACCGUCUCUUUAACACUCCCUAUAGUAAUAAUAAUAAUUUUAAUAAAGCACGGAGCGUCAACAGAGCCAGAUAGACAAGCUGGUAUCAUUUCCAACACUUUAUAUAUCAAACACAAUAACAACUGCUGCCAGAUCCGAAAAUAAGUUGUCGCUUCUUAAGAACAGGAUAAAAAGGAACCCUAAAAAAAGAAGAAAAAAAAUCGUAUUUGUUUACAUAUUUAUUCCAACUUUACCAUUUGCCUGAGCUGCCUCUGUAUCUAUACAUACAUAUAUAUAUAUAUCGAAAGAUUGUUUCCUUUUUCUCUCAGGAUACAUUUUACCUGUCUCACUGCCUCUUUCAAGUAAUUCAAACCUAGUCUUGUUUUGACAAUCUUUCGCAAUUUAUACACCUGUUCUUUGAAUCUUUCCCCAAAAUCUUGUCUCUAUAAGUGGAUAUUUCCAGAAGCUACAUAGCUGUCAAUUUUUUAACACAUAUAUACAUACUUAUAUAAAUAUAUAUACAUAUACAUAUAUAUAUAUAGCCAUUCAUAUUUUUCACCUUAUAAUAUCUACGUUAACAUAUAUCUGCAUAUUAUAUAUAUUAAUAUAAACACACACACGUAUAUAAUUCCUCUUGGAUAUUUACCAUUAUUGUUAUUGUUAUUACUUGAGAAACGUUUUCACGAGAAAUCUAAUAUAAUAAUGGGUGAGUUUUUAUCAGUUUUUCUUUGAUUUUUUAAAAAUUAUAUUACGACAAAUUCUUCCUGUUUUCACAAUAAAUGACACUUUUUUUCAUGUUAAUUAUGGAAUUAUAUUUCUCCGACAAAAAAAAAAUAAUACAUACAGCUAAUUUUUGUUUGCGUGUAUAUAUAUAUAACUUGGUUUUCGGGUUCUAGUGUGCCUCCCGCUUCUUCUAUAGAAUGGAAGAAAUCCCGUUUGCAUUUGGAAUUCUGUAGGAGGGGGACAGCAGGGAUUGCCCCAAUCCCCAAUUCUUUUUUUCUUUUUAAUAUUCCUUCUUGUUGGCACAGCCUAUUGAUAACCUAAUAUGGUCUCACCAAACCUUCGUCUUCCAUAUAAAAGACAAAGGAAAUUGGAUCAAUUCCAAUGAAAGCAGUGGAGCUUUCUAUGGAACAAACUCCGGGGAUUUUUAUCUUUGUUUUAUUUUCUUUUUCACCGGAAUUUAACCCAUAUUUAACAUCUGCCAUGCAUGUAUGUAUGUGUGUGUGUGUGUGUGUGUGUGUGUUUGUAUAUAUAUAUAUAUAUAUAUAUAUAUAUAUAUAUAUAUAUUAUAUCCUUAUAUCCUUAUAUCUAUUGACUGCAGUUUCUCUAUAUGUAUAUAUAACGACUGUUUAUUUAUGCAUUUCUCCUGAAAAUGAAAAUAAGAAAAGUAUUUUGUGUAUUUUUGCCGGGAUAAAUAAACUUCUGUCUUUUACCUUAUCCCAGUUUGGCAAAACAGAUGCCACAAUUUUACCGAUUAUAUUCUUCUCCCUGCCAGCGUAAAUUUCACUAAACUAUUUGUCUCACAAAUAAUAGUUUCUAACAUUUUUUUUUUUCUGUCUCGUUAUGUUCGAUAUAACACUGUUUUAAUUCACUCAUCUGUUUCAGUCUCUGCUAGCCAGUUAAACUUAUAGCUUCAUAUCUGAAUUUAAUUAACAAUAAUAAUAAUAAGAAUAAAAACAGAAAGAAGCUAUCAAUCUUUCUCCCUAUCCUUCUGAGAAGCAGAAAUAGUAGAGCAUCGGAAGGAAAGCUUUGCGGUAUUUUUUCCAAAUCAUUAUUAUGUUCCCGAGUCCUAUUCCCGCUGAGGUUAACUUUAUCAUUUGUACUUUCGAGGUCAAUAGACUAAGUACUUGUCAAGUACCGAGGUCGAUGUAAUCGACUUCUACCACCCCCUCCUAUCAAAAUUACUGGGCUUGUGCGAAAAUUAUAAAACAAAUCAUAAUGACACCUCUGUUACGUUCCGAGUUCAAAUCCUGUCGUGGUCGACUUUUUUUUUUUCCUUUUCUUUUUCGGUCUUCCAAAGUUGACAAAAUAGAAAACUAUUCCUUCCACAAAAUGUGUGCUCCUGUACUAAGGCGAACAAUUAUGGAUUGCUAUAGUCGGUGGAACGUCGGACAAAAUACUUCUGCAGUAUUAUUUGUUCCAGCGCUUUACGUUCCGAGCUCAAAUCCCAUCGAAGUCAACUUUGCAUUUGAUUCGUCUCUGGAUGAUUAAAAAAAAGGUGGGGGCGUUCAAGAAUUACAGUAAAUACAAUCGACAGUUCUUCAGCACAAAAUUUCUGACCUUGUACACGUGU
Molecule: long non-coding RNA, 4047 nt
Filed under: Octopus vulgaris (common octopus)
Lineage: Eukaryota; Metazoa; Mollusca; Cephalopoda; Octopoda; Octopodidae
Source: RNAcentral